AUUGAACGCUGGCGGCAUGCCUUACACAUGCAAGUCGAACGGCAGCACGGGUACUUGCACCUGGUGGCGAGUGGCGAACGGGUGAGUAAUGCAUCGGAACGUACCCGGAAGUGGGGGAUAACGUAGCGAAAGUUACGCUAAUACCGCAUAUUCUGUGAGCAGGAAAGCGGGGGAUCUUCGGACCUCGUGCUUUCGGAGCGGCCGAUGUCGGAUUAGCGAGUUGGUGAGGUAAAGGCUCACCAAGGCGACGAUCCGUAGCGGGUCUGAGAGGAUGAUCCGCCACACUGGGACUGAGACACAGCCCAGACUCCUACGGGAGGCAGCAGUGGGGAAUUUUGGACAAUGGGGGCAACCCUGAUCCAGCCAUGCCGCGUGAGUGAAGAAGGCCUUCGGGUUGUAAAGCUCUUUUGUCAGGGAAGAAAUGGUCUGGGCUAAUACCCUGGGCAGAUGACGGUACCUGAAGAAUAAGCACCGGCUAACUACGUGCCAGCAGCCGCCGUAA
RNAcentral lists this ribosomal RNA (502 nucleotides) under uncultured bacterium. RNAcentral's name for it is "partial 16S ribosomal RNA". It matches the Rfam family "Bacterial small subunit ribosomal RNA", at positions 30 to 523 of the family's 1533-position model. The record is from RNAcentral.